UGAGCUUUCAGAAAAGCCCUCAACCUCUUCUCUAUCACCACCAGGGGCGUGGCAAUAGUGUUCAUAAUAAACAGUAAAUUAAAAAAAAAUCACAUUUUUGUUUCAACCUUGUAAACGCUCUAGCGCCUAAACUGGCUAACGUAGGUGAACCCAAUACAAUGCACCAGUUAGAUAGUUUAAUGAGCUUUCAGAAAAGCCCUCAACCUCUUCUCUAUCACCACCAGGGGCGUGGCAAUAGUGUUCAUAAUAAACAGUAGUUUACAAAAAAGUCACAUUUUUGUUUCAACUUUUUAAACGCUCUAGCGGCUAAAUUGGCCGACAUAGGUGGACCCAAUACAAUGCACCAGUUAGAUAGUUUAAUGAGCUUUCAGAAAAGCCCUCAACCUCUUCUCUAUCACCACCAGGGGCGUGGCAAUAGUGUUCAUAAUAAACAGUAGUUUAAAAAAAAAUCAC
Bactrocera dorsalis (oriental fruit fly) is the source of this 453-nucleotide long non-coding RNA. RefSeq lists it as uncharacterized. NCBI's taxonomy places the organism in Eukaryota, Metazoa, Arthropoda, Insecta, Diptera, Tephritidae. The record is from RefSeq and is a predicted model, not a curated record. The transcript has 3 exons.